UAGAGAAUGCUGCCGGGACUGACCCAUGUCUUUUCUGAAUCACCUCUGACAUAUGACCAGGAAUACAACAUGUUUAAGACCACAGAACAUCUGCAUAGGCUGUAAAUUUCGUUGAAUGAUGGAUGCAAAGAUGGAAGACAGAUGGAUAGAGGAAAAGACAGAAUCAGAUACUGGAUGAGUUAGUACUGCUGCCUGUGCUUCAGAGCUGUCUUAUUACCACAAGGCCGGCAAGCAUCAAUGUCCCCACAUCCCCCUCUGCCUCCCCCUGAAAUGUACCGAUUUAUAUGAAAAUUAAGAUUACAAAUUAAAGCCUGGCUAUCCUGGAGUUUUCCAGUUCAUCAGCCAUCCAAUAAAAAUGAUGUCAAGCCUGUAUGCAUAAUUCCCGGAAGAUUACUUUCGUCCUUACAGCUAAGCCCUGUCCCUGAUAUGAAAGAUCUCUAUCCACUUUUAUUGAAAUAAAGAACUAACAUCAUAAUCCCAAUAUUGAGGUAUAAUCUUCAUUAUCUCCUGACCCUCUUGAGGUUCCCCCAAUCUAUAUUACUUCAGAUUUGGUUUAUGUGUAAUCCUUAUGUAUUUACUUUUAUUGAGAUAGGAUUAAAAACUAAAAAAAAAGCUUCAAAAAAU
Molecule: long non-coding RNA, 624 nt
Organism: Homo sapiens (human)
Lineage: Eukaryota; Metazoa; Chordata; Mammalia; Primates; Hominidae
Product: long intergenic non-protein coding RNA 1088
Source: Ensembl